This is a long non-coding RNA of Monopterus albus (swamp eel), 346 nucleotides long. RefSeq lists it as uncharacterized. The record is from RefSeq and is a predicted model, not a curated record. The transcript is spliced from 3 exons. Lineage: Eukaryota; Metazoa; Chordata; Actinopteri; Synbranchiformes; Synbranchidae.
GAAUGUGGAGGGUUUGCAGCAGGCAGCUCUGGAUGAAUACGGCGCCGACCUCCACAUUGCUUUGCACAGCCGACAAGACGAGCUGCUCUACCUGAGAAGUCUGACCGAGAUGUUGUUUCCCUACGUCAUGCCUCCCAAAGCAACUGACUGCAGGUCUCUGACUCUGUUGCUGCGGGAGGUGAUGGCUGGCUCCGUCAUCCUACCAACCAUGGAUUUCAUGGCUGACCCUGAUAAUGUGAACCACAUGGUGCUCCUCUUUGUUGACAACACUCCAGUAAGUAAAAAGGACAUGUCCAUUGCUUUCUAUGUGAAUCCAUAAACACUUAAUAUACUGUAUGUCCAGUUC